CCAGACUAGCUGAGAGGUGGUAAUGUAUUAUUUUGCUCGUCAUUUUUAAACAUUUGUUUGGAUUUUUUCGGACAAUUCAAAUCUUGUUUUAUGCACGUAUAAAUGUGAAUUUUUAGGUUGUGAACAUGCAGUUAAUGUGUCAAUUAAAGAUACAUAUUGUAAACGGACUUUUUGCAAGUUGACAUGUUUCCACACGCUGGUCUUCUGUAUGUUUAUCUGCUAACAGGAGCUUGAGACCUGUGUGCUGUGUGGAGGAGACUGCAUGUUACAGAGCCUUACGUGUUUUCUAUUGAUUUGUACAGAAAUCCACCGUUCUACCUUCAUUAAAAGAACAAUCAACAGCUGGCCGUGGUUCGAGGCCUUCUUUCAUCCAGCGCAACAUAGAACACAACGCAGGACUUAGGGUUAAUGGACGUGCAUCCAACGCGAUAUUAAACUGUUGAAGACAAAGCACGCCCGUUGCAAUGGCUUCUCAACCAAAGCCUAAAACACACCAAAAAGACACAAUAUAAAACAUGUAAAACCUUUGACAGCUAAAAGAUGACUACUUUUACCACAUUACUAACGAAUGAUGAAAAAAAAAAACUUUUUAUACACUAUGAAGUGUUGUUUAUAAAUAAAUUAAAAAACAGAGGAAACAUUAGCAUAAUAAAGUGCAAUAAUGCUCUAGCACAUCUUAUAAAAAAAUUCAAAAAUGCAUACCCUGUUGAGAAGGAUUCUUUUCUGUGGGACGAGAUGAAGAUUUCGAUUUCCUUCACACACCAACAGAAACUGUCCAUCCAGACAAAUGUCAAUAGCAUUUACAUCAGUUUCUGGAAAAGGAGAUUUAAGUGGAUUACUAAGGACGAGCUGAAGGAGGAAUUUUGUAGAACGUUACAACUUUCUGAUAUUAUUUAUAUUUUGUGUGUUAAAGUAGAUACAGGAAUGUGCAGUAAAUGAAUCUGCAGCAACUAAGUAUGUAUGUGGAUAAAAAUCCGUAAGGAAUGUAAAUAUUUAUGUCAAACAUUUAUUCUUACGUAUUAUAAGUAAGUGCACUGUAAUUGUACAGUGAUUCGGACCUAAGGAAGUAACUAAGUAACGUGUUUAUAUUGUGGAUGAAAUGUAUUCACGUGUUCAUAUUUUAUAGAAGUAUGCAACAUAUAUAAUCAUGUUUUAAAAGAUCAUAAGAGAUGCGCUAAAACAUAACCUGCCUAAAAUAUAAACAUGCUGCUUGUGGAAAAUAUAAAAUGUAUUGCAUAUAAACAUGCUUUGGAAAAUGUGCAAAUAUGUAAUCUACGUGGAAGCAUAAGCAUGCUGCUUGGAUCCUGCAAUAUAAAAUACACAGACACUCUGAAACAGGAAUUAAGUUAAACUCAGGAUGUGUAGUGAAACAGCUGAUGCGACAGGAGAGGCCUUGACCUUGUGGCAGAAGCUCAGGAGGUGUACGUGACAAUAACCAGGUUCUGAGUGGAAGCCAGUGUGAGUGUGGAAAACAAAGAACAAUAAGAUCAUUUAUCAAAUAUGAUAACAAACAGGAUGUCAAUCUGACGUGCAACAUCUGUGUAUUUUAGGUGAGGGUCUGCUAAUAAACAGAGCCUGAUCAUGUGAAGGGGCAGAAUUCAGCAGUUAGUCUUCUGACUCUCCGUUGGAUCCUCCCUGUGCACAGGCGAACUCGA
Cynoglossus semilaevis (tongue sole) is the source of this 1655-nucleotide long non-coding RNA. RefSeq lists it as uncharacterized. Lineage: Eukaryota; Metazoa; Chordata; Actinopteri; Pleuronectiformes; Cynoglossidae. The transcript has 2 exons. The record is from RefSeq and is a predicted model, not a curated record.